AGGAUAAUAGCUCAGUGGUAGAACACAUGCUUAGCAUGCAGGAGGUCCUGAGUUCAAUUCCCAGUACUUCCA
RNAcentral lists this transfer RNA (72 nucleotides) under Camelus bactrianus (Bactrian camel). It matches the Rfam family "tRNA". From Rfam's summary of the family: Transfer RNA (tRNA) molecules are approximately 80 nucleotides in length. Their secondary structure includes four short double-helical elements and three loops (D, anti-codon, and T loops). Further hydrogen bonds mediate the characteristic L-shaped molecular structure. tRNAs have two regions of fundamental functional importance: the anti-codon, which is responsible for specific mRNA codon recognition, and the 3' end, to which the tRNAs corresponding amino acid is attached (by aminoacyl-tRNA synthetases). tRNAs cope with the degeneracy of the genetic code in two manners: having more than one tRNA (with a specific anti-codon) for a particular amino acid; and 'wobble' base-pairing, i.e. permitting non-standard base-pairing at the 3rd anti-codon position. Lineage: Eukaryota; Metazoa; Chordata; Mammalia; Artiodactyla; Camelidae. The record is from Rfam by way of RNAcentral. RNAcentral also lists the same sequence under 1 other name.